AGUGAACGCUGGCGGUAGGCCUAACACAUGCAAGUCGAACGGCAACACAGUAAGAGCUUGCUCUUACGGGUGGCGAGUGACGGACGGGUGAGGAAUACAUCGGAAUCUACUUUUUCGUGGGGGAUAACGUGGGGAAACUUACGCUAAUACCUCAUACGACCUACGGGUGAAAGCAAGGGAUCUUCGGACCUUGCGCGAUUGAAUGAGCCGAUGUCGGAUUAGCUAGUUGGCGGGGUAAAGGCCCACCAAGGCGACGAUCCGUAGCUGGUCUGAGAGGAUGAUCAGCCACACUGGAACUGAGACACGGUCCAGACUCCUACGGGAGGCAGCAGUGGGGAAUAUUGGACAAAGGGCGAAAGCCUGAUCCAGCCAUACCGCGUGGGUGAAGAAGGCCUUCGGGUUGUAAAGCCCUUUUGUUGGGAAAGAAAAGAAGCAGGUUAAUACCCCGCUGUUCUGACGGUACCCAAAGAAUAAGCAACGGCUAACUUCGUG
RNAcentral lists this ribosomal RNA (492 nucleotides) under uncultured bacterium. RNAcentral's name for it is "partial 16S ribosomal RNA". It matches the Rfam family "Bacterial small subunit ribosomal RNA", at positions 29 to 507 of the family's 1533-position model. The record is from RNAcentral.